Molecule: unclassified non-coding RNA, 323 nt
Filed under: plant metagenome
Description: partial contains 5.8S ribosomal RNA, internal transcribed spacer 2, and large subunit ribosomal RNA
Rfam family: 5.8S ribosomal RNA (bases 1-104)
Source: RNAcentral
GAAAUGCGAUAACUAAUGUGAAUUGCAGAAUUCAGUGAAUCAUCGAGUCUUUGAACGCACAUUGCGCCCCUGGUAUUCCGGGGGGCAUGCCUGUCCGAGCGUCAUUGCUGCCCUCAAGCCCGGCUUGUGUGUUGGGCCCUCGUCCCCCGGCUCCCGGGGGACGGGCCCGAAAGGCAGCGGCGGCACCGCGUCCGGUCCUCGAGCGUAUGGGGCUUCGUCUUCCGCUCCGUAGGCCCGGCCGGCGCCCGCCGACGCAUUUAUUUGCAACUUGUUUUUUUCCAGGUUGACCUCGGAUCAGGUAGGGAUACCCGCUGAACUUAAGC